CGGAGGGUGCAAGCGUUAUCCGGAUUCACUGGGUUUAAAGGGUGCGUAGGUGGGCUAGUAAGUCCGUGGUGAAAUCCCUGAGCUUAACUUGGGAACUGCCAUUGAUACUAUUAGUCUUGAAUAUCGUGGAGGUAAGCGGAAUAUGUCAUGUAGCGGUGAAAUGCUUAGAUAUGACAUAGAACACCAAUUGCGAAGGCAGCUUGCUACACGGUCAUUGACACUGAGGCGCGAAAGCGUGGGGAGCAAACAGGAUUAGAUACCCUGUAGUCCACGCCCUAAACUAUGGAUACUCGACAUCAGCGAUACACUGUUGGUGUCUGAGCGAAAGCAUUAAGUAUCCCACCUGGGAAGUACGAUCGCAAGAUUG
Molecule: ribosomal RNA, 367 nt
Filed under: uncultured organism
Description: bacterial SSU rRNA
Rfam family: Bacterial small subunit ribosomal RNA
Source: RNAcentral